RNAcentral lists this ribosomal RNA (485 nucleotides) under uncultured bacterium. RNAcentral's name for it is "bacterial SSU rRNA". It matches the Rfam family "Bacterial small subunit ribosomal RNA", at positions 327 to 805 of the family's 1533-position model. The record is from RNAcentral.
AACCGAGAACUCCUACGGGAGGCAGCAGUGGGGAAUUUUGGACAAUGGGCGAAAGCCUGAUCCAGCAAUGCCGCGUGCAGGAUGAAGGCCUUCGGGUUGUAAACUGCUUUUGUACGGAACGAAAAGUCUCGGGAUAAUACCCUGGGACCAUGACGGUACCGUAAGAAUAAGCACCGGCUAACUACGUGCCAGCAGCCGCGGUAAUACGUAGGGUGCAAGCGUUAAUCGGAAUUACUGGGCGUAAAGCGUGCGCAGGCGGUUAUAUAAGACAGAUGUGAAAUCCCCGGGCUCAACCUGGGAACUGCAUUUGUGACUGUAUAGCUAGAGUACGGUAGAGGGGGAUGGAAUUCCGCGUGUAGCAGUGAAAUGCGUAGAUAUGCGGAGGAACACCGAUGGCGAAGGCAAUCCCCUGGACCUGUACUGACGCUCAUGCACGAAAGCGUGGGGAGCAAACAGGAUUAGAAACCCGGGUAGUCCGACUGAGA